RNAcentral lists this transfer RNA (77 nucleotides) under Flavobacteriales bacterium. Its description in RNAcentral is "tRNA-Pro". It matches the Rfam family "tRNA". Rfam says of the family: Transfer RNA (tRNA) molecules are approximately 80 nucleotides in length. Their secondary structure includes four short double-helical elements and three loops (D, anti-codon, and T loops). Further hydrogen bonds mediate the characteristic L-shaped molecular structure. tRNAs have two regions of fundamental functional importance: the anti-codon, which is responsible for specific mRNA codon recognition, and the 3' end, to which the tRNAs corresponding amino acid is attached (by aminoacyl-tRNA synthetases). tRNAs cope with the degeneracy of the genetic code in two manners: having more than one tRNA (with a specific anti-codon) for a particular amino acid; and 'wobble' base-pairing, i.e. permitting non-standard base-pairing at the 3rd anti-codon position. Lineage: Bacteria; Pseudomonadati; Bacteroidota; Flavobacteriia; Flavobacteriales. The record is from RNAcentral. RNAcentral also lists the same sequence under 1 other name.
CGGGGUAUGGCGCAGCCUGAUAGCGCGUCCGCUUUGGGAGCGGAAGGUCGUAGGUUUGAAUCCUACUACCCCGACCA